ACGCUGGCGGCGUGCUUAACACAUGCAAGUCGAACGAUGAACCACUUCGGUGGGGAUUAGUGGCGAACGGGUGAGUAACACGUGGGCAAUCUGCCCUGCACUCUGGGACAAGCCCUGGAAACGGGGUCUAAUACCGGAUACAACCACUAGGGGCAUCUCUUGGUGGUGGAAAGCUCCGGCGGUGCAGGAUGAGCCCGCGGCCUAUCAGCUUGUUGGUGAGGUAAUGGCUCACCAAGGCGACGACGGGUAGCCGGCCUGAGAGGGCGACCGGCCACACUGGGACUGAGACACGGCCCAGACUCCUACGGGAGGCAGCGAGUGGGGAAUAGUUGCACAAGUGGGACGAAAGCCUGAUGCAGCGACGCCGCGUG
Molecule: non-coding RNA, 371 nt
Filed under: Streptomyces afghaniensis 772
Lineage: Bacteria; Bacillati; Actinomycetota; Actinomycetes; Kitasatosporales; Streptomycetaceae
Description: Bacterial small subunit ribosomal RNA
Rfam family: Bacterial small subunit ribosomal RNA
Source: Rfam by way of RNAcentral